AAGAGGCUGAUGAUGGAGACUUGCAUUUGGUUGGUACUGAAAAGGCUCAGUCUGCAAUUCCAACUAAAGGAGCCGAUGAGGAAUUGAACUUGGUAGCUACUGAUCAGAAGGAGGAAUAUGCAGCACAGUCUCCGGGACAGGGCAAAAAGAAGAAAUUUACUAAAAAGGCUAGUUAAUUUCUAACAAAUUAAUUUUCACAUAUCUGCAUAUAUGGUAAUUAAUUUAUUAAUUAUGUGUGCUUUAUUUAGGACAUUCUUGCUGAUUUUGAAGAAAAAAGGAAAAAGAGGGUUGCAGAAAAUAAUCAAAUGUUGGAAAAUCUGAGAAUAAAUAAACUGAAAGCUGAACUUGAAGCUAAAAAAGAAAAAAAGAAGAAGAUACUUGAUGGUAACGUAUCAGACUUGGAAUUUGAUCGGGACUAUGUCUCCGGACAUGAUAGCCUGCCUAGUAGCGAAGACGAGCAACCGGCGAAGCGGACAAAAAAAGCUCCAAAAGUGAAGGUUGCUAGCAGAACACCCACAACACGUUCCCAAACUGUCAAAAAAAUUGCUGAGACUCAAAAGGUUGAUGCUGAAGUAAUACCACCUCCCCCGCCACUACCUGCUGGUCUUCAAGAGUUGAAUCAGAUAAAGAGGGCAUACAGUAAUGAUGGAGUUGGAACAAUGGAGGCAUAUCUGAAGCUGAAAGAGAGUGAGAAACAAUUAAAAGCUGGAAAUGGA
Molecule: long non-coding RNA, 716 nt
Organism: Daucus carota subsp. sativus
Lineage: Eukaryota; Viridiplantae; Streptophyta; Magnoliopsida; Apiales; Apiaceae
Exons: 3
Source: RefSeq, a predicted model, not a curated record